RNAcentral lists this ribosomal RNA (371 nucleotides) under uncultured eukaryote. RNAcentral describes it as "partial 18S ribosomal RNA". It matches the Rfam family "Eukaryotic small subunit ribosomal RNA", at positions 592 to 976 of the family's 1831-position model. The record is from RNAcentral.
CAAUAGCGUAUAUUAAAGUUGUUGCAGUUAAAAAGCUCGUAGUUGGAUUUGUGGCACAGCUUUUACUCCAUUUUUGGUAGUGUAAGCUUUGUCAUCCUUGAGUAAAGCAUGUGUGGCAUUAGGUUGUCGUGCAUAGGAUACUUAUCUUUUACUGUGAAAAAAUCAGGGCGUUCAAAGCAAGCUUAUGCUGGUGAAUGGAUUAGCAUGGAAUAAUAAAAUAUGACCUUGUUACUAUUUUGUUGGUUUGUGUAUCAAGGUAAUGAUUAAUAGGGAUAGUUGGGGGUAUUUGUAUUCCACUGUCAGAGGUGAAAUUCUUGGAUUUUUGGAAGACAAGCUACUGCGAAAGCAUUUACCAAGGAUGUUUUCAUUAA